UACGUAGGGUGCGAGCGUUGUCCGGAAUUAUUGGGCGUAAAGAGCUCGUAGGCGGCUUGUCGCGUCGUCCGUGAAAACCUGCGGCUCAACUGCAGGCUGGCGGUCGAUACGGGCAGGCUGGAGUUCGGUAGGGGAGACUGGAAUUCCUGGUGUAGCGGUGAAAUGCGCAGAUAUCAGGAGGAACACCGGUGGCGAAAGCGCUCAUCUGGCCCAAUACUGACGCUGAGGCGCGAAGGCUAGGGGAGCAAACGGG
Molecule: ribosomal RNA, 253 nt
Filed under: uncultured bacterium
Lineage: Bacteria
Description: partial 16S ribosomal RNA
Rfam family: Bacterial small subunit ribosomal RNA
Source: RNAcentral